GAUGAACGCUGGCGGCGUGCCUAAUACAUGCAAGUCGAGCGAACGGUCGAGAAGCUUGCUUCUCUGAUGUUAGCGGCGGACGGGUGAGUAAAACGUGGAUAACCUACCUAUAAGACUGGGAUAACUUCGGGAAACCGGAGCUAAUACCGGAUAAUAUUUUGAACCGCAUGGUUCAAAAGUGAAAGACGGUCUUGCUGUCACUUAUAGAUGGAUCCGCGCUGCAUUAGCUAGUUGGUAAGGUAACGGCUUACCAAGGCAACGAUGCAUAGCCGACCUGAGAGGGUGAUCGGCCACACUGGAACUGAGACACGGUCCAGACUCCUACGGGAGGCAGCAGUAGGGAAUCUUCCGCAAAGGGCGAAAGCCUGACGGAGCAACGCCGCGUGAGUGAUGAAGGUCUUCGGAUCGUAAAACUCUGUUAUUAGGGAAGAACAUAUGUGUAAGUAACUGUGCACAUCUUGACGGUACCUAAUCAGAAAGCCACGGCUAACUACGUG
RNAcentral lists this ribosomal RNA (497 nucleotides) under uncultured bacterium. RNAcentral describes it as "partial 16S ribosomal RNA". It matches the Rfam family "Bacterial small subunit ribosomal RNA", at positions 28 to 507 of the family's 1533-position model. The record is from RNAcentral.